UAGGGAAUCUUCGGCAAUGGGCGGAACCCUGACUGAGCAACGCCGCGUGAGUGAAGAAGGUUUUCGGAUCGUAAAGCUCUGUUGUUAAGUAAGAACGAGUGUGAGAAUGGAAAGUUCAUACUGUGACGGUACUUAACCAGAAAGGGACGGCUAACUACGUGCCAGCAGCCGCGGUAAUACGUAGGUCCCGAGCGUUGUCCGGAUUUAUUGGGCGUAAAGCGAGCGCAGGCGGUCAAUUAAGUCUGAUGUGAAAGCCCACGGCUCAACCGUGGAGGGUCAUUGGAAACUGGAAAACUUGAGUGCAGAAGAGGAAAGUGGAAUUCCAUGUGUAGCGGUGAAAUGCGCAGAGAUAUGGAGGAACACCAGUGGCGAAGGCGACUCUCUGGUCUGUAACUGACGCGGAGGCUCGAAAGCGUGGGUAGCAAACAGG
RNAcentral lists this ribosomal RNA (430 nucleotides) under Bacteroidota bacterium. RNAcentral's name for it is "Bacteroidetes bacterium partial 16S ribosomal RNA". It matches the Rfam family "Bacterial small subunit ribosomal RNA", at positions 355 to 776 of the family's 1533-position model. Lineage: Bacteria; Pseudomonadati; Bacteroidota. The record is from RNAcentral.